This 497-nucleotide ribosomal RNA is filed under the name uncultured bacterium. RNAcentral's name for it is "partial 16S ribosomal RNA". It matches the Rfam family "Bacterial small subunit ribosomal RNA", at positions 28 to 507 of the family's 1533-position model. The record is from RNAcentral.
GACGAACGCUGGCGGCGUGCCUAAUACAUGCAAGUUGAGCGCUGAAGGUUGGUACUUGUACCAACUGGAUGAGCAGCGAACGGGUGAGUAACGCGUGGGGAAUCUGCCUUUGAGCGGGGGACAACAUUUGGAAACGAAUGCUGAUACCGCAUAAAAACUUUAAACACAAGUUUUAAGUUUGAAAGAUGCAAUUGCAUCACUCAAAGAUGAUCCCGCGUUGUAUUAGCUAGUUGGUGAGGUAAAGGCUCACCAAGGCGAUGAUACAUAGCCGACCUGAGAGGGUGAUCGGCCACAUUGGGAAUGAGACACGGCCCAAACUCCUAAGGGAGGCAGCAGUAGGGAAUCUUCGGAAAUGGACGAAAGUCUGACCGAGCAACGCCGCGUGAGUGAAGAAGGUUUUCGGAUCGUAAAACUCUGUUGGUAGAGAAGAACGUUGGUGAGAGUGGAAAGCUCAUCAAGUGACGGUAACUACCCAGAAAGGGACGGCUAACUACGUG